This is a long non-coding RNA of Candoia aspera, 191 nucleotides long. RefSeq lists it as uncharacterized. The transcript has 2 exons. NCBI's taxonomy places the organism in Eukaryota, Metazoa, Chordata, Lepidosauria, Squamata, Candoiidae. The record is from RefSeq and is a predicted model, not a curated record.
GCCGAACUGGCCGCGUAACUACCUAAAACAGGCGGCGGGACUACCGGGACCUGCGGCGGCGGCGGCGGCGGCAUGGCGGUAGGCAGUACACCCGCCUCUGUGGCACCUACAAAUUCAUCAGGAAAAUGGGAAUUCUGAGCAGCAUAUUUUGACUUUUUCUCCUGACAAAUCCUGAGGUUCACAUACAAGGC